AGAGUUUGAUCAUGGCUCAGAACGUACGCUGGCGGCACGCCUAACACAUGCAAGUCGAACGAAGUAGCAAUACUUAGUGGCAGACGGGUGAGUAACAUGUGGGUAUCUGCCCUUUGGCCUGGAAUAACACGAGGAAACUUGUGCUAAUACCGGAUAAGUCUUUACAGAGAAAGCUUUAUGCACCAUUGGAUGAGCCCGCACUUGAUUAGUUUGUUGGUGGGGUAAUGGCCUACCAAGACUUUGAUCAAUAGCUGAUUUGAGAGGAUGAUCAGCCACAUUGGGACUGAGACACGGCCCAAACUCCUACGGGAGGCAGCAGUGGGGAAUCUUGCACAAUGGAGGAAACUCUGAUGCAGCGAUGCCGCGUGAGUGAAGAAGGCCUUUGGGUUGUAAAGCUCUUUCGUCGGGGAAGAAAAUGACUGUACCCGAAUAAGAAGGUCCGGCUAACUUCGUGCCAGCAGCCGCGGUAAUACGAAGGGACCUAGCGUAGUUCGGAAUUACUGGGCUUAAAGAGUUCGUAGGUGGUUGAAAAAGUUGGUGGUGAAAUCCCAGAGCUUAACUCUGGAACUGCCAUCAAAACUUUUCAGCUAGAGUUUGAUAGAGGAAAGCAGAAUUUCUAGUGUAGAGGUGAAAUUCGUAGAUAUUAGAAAGAAUACCAAUUGCGAAGGCAGCUUUCUGGAUCAUUACUGACACUGAGGAACGAAAGCAUGGGUAGCGAAGAGGAUUAGAUACCCUCGUAGUCCAUGCCGUAAACGAUGUGUGUUAGACGUUGGAAAUUUAUUUUCAGUGUCGCAGCGAAAGCGAUAAACACACCGCCUGGGGAGUACGACCGCAAGGUUAAAACUCAAAUGAAUUGACGGGGACCCGCACAAGUAGUGGAGCAUGUGGUUUAAUUCGAAGAUACGCGCAGAACCUUACCAACACUUGACAUGUUCGUCGCGACUUUAAGAGAUUAAAGUUUUCGGUUCGGCCGGACGAAACACAGGUGCUGCAUGGCUGUCGUCAGCUCGUGUCGUGAGAUGUUGGGUUAAGUCCCGCAACGAGCGCAACCCUCACUUUUAGUUGCCAUCAUUAAGUUGGGCACUCUGAAAGAACUGCCAGUGAUAAGCUGGAGGAAGGUGGGGAUGACGUCAAGUCCUCAUGGCCCUUACGUGUUGGGCUACACACGUGCUAC
This 1174-nucleotide ribosomal RNA is filed under the name marine metagenome. RNAcentral's name for it is "bacterial SSU rRNA". It matches the Rfam family "Bacterial small subunit ribosomal RNA", at positions 8 to 1228 of the family's 1533-position model. The record is from RNAcentral.